GCCUGGCCACUAUAUAAUCUGUCAGAUGAAGAGUGAUGGCCACCUGAAGCCUCUCUAGGUUAUAAUACUAUUCUCCAAUGAGACCUAUUUGGUAGACGAGAAGGGGAAUUAUGCCAGAUCUUCUUUACAAUGAGGGAAGACACUACACUGAGGAAGGCUUGCAGACUUUCUCAGUACAUUAUGCCAACUCCCUCAGGACCUAGGUGCCCACCGUAUCCUGGCCCAACUGGGUCAGACCCUCCAGAAGUUAGUCAGCCUUCUCCAAUAUCGCCCAAGGCUCCUCCUCUCCCUCCUCCAGUGCCAAUGUUACAUCCCUCUCUUCCUCCCUUCACAGGAAGUGGCAAACAGAGAAUGGGGACCAAUACAGGUCCAUACGACUUUUUCGCUUCAGGACUUAAAGCAAAUAAUAGAUUAGGGAAAAUUUGCUGACAACCCAGAUAUAUUGAGGUCUUUCAGGGUCUCAUGCAGUCCUUUGAGUUGGCCUGGAAGGACGUCAGGUUAUUACUAAAACAGGUAUUGACUAUAAGUGGGGAAAAAAAUACAUAAAGUCUUCCAAAACUGCUCAAAGCUGGGGAAGAUGAAUGGAAUGAUGCUAUAAACGCCAGAGGCAGAUUAGAAGAGGAAUGAACAAGAUUCUCCACACUGUCAGGCAGUUCCUAUGAGCGAUCCCAAUUGGUCUACUGAUGAGGGAGAUAACAAUUGGCAUAGAAAUCAUUUUAUUACUUGUAUAGUUGAGGGAUUAACAGCCUCACAAGUAAGGCCCAUUAAAAGCUAUUACUAGGGGAACAAGAGAGUCCAUCAGCUUUCUUAGAAUUCUAGACUCAGAAAGGCAUUGAGAAAAUAUACACCAAGGAAUCCAGAAACAAUGGAGGGCCGAAUAAUUCUUAAGGAUAAAUUCAUAGCUCAAUCGGUGCCAGAUAUAUGGAGAAAGCUCCAAAAAUUGGCUUUUGGCCUUGACAGGACCUGGAGCACCUCUUAUAAUUGGGGCCAGGAAGAAUGAAAGGAGAACAAGAGGGAGAGAGAGAAAAGGCUGAGGCUCUAGUUAUGACACUACAGGGAGUCAACCUGGGAGUUUCCAAGAGAAGACUAGGGCAGAGACCUAAGCCCGGAGCCUGUUUCCUCUGUGGAAAAGAGGGACCCUUUAAAUGGGAAUGCCCCAAGACAGACCACAGCACCUAGGCCAUGCCCCAUAUGUUGGGGAGAUCACUGGAAUAGGGACUGUCCCCAAAGACAAAAGGUCUCUGGGGUUGACCCCUCAGGCCCAGGAUCAAGACUGAUGGGACAUUUCCAUAAUGGCUCCUGUCCUUAUCACCACUCAGCAGCCCUGGGUGACUAAAUGUAGGAAGACAGCCUAUGGACUAACUCCUGGAUAUGGGAGCCACUUUUCAGUCCUCCUCUCCGGUCCCAGGCCCCUCCCUCACGAAUCUGCCACAUUCGUGUUUCUGGCAAGAUGGUUACAAAAUUUUUUACACAACCUUUGAGUUGUGACUGGGAAACCAUUUUCUUCUCUCAUGCCUUUCUGAUUGUUCCAGAGAGUCCAACUCCUCCUUUAGAAAGAUAUUUUGUAAGAGGUUAAAGCCUCAAUUCACAUGGCAAUGGAGCCUAAUCAAGGUUUAUGCAUGCCUUUAAUGGAAGUAUAUAUUAACCCAGAAGUUUGGGCCAUAGGAGGAA
Molecule: long non-coding RNA, 1671 nt
Filed under: Sus scrofa (pig)
Lineage: Eukaryota; Metazoa; Chordata; Mammalia; Artiodactyla; Suidae
Description: lncRNA (ENSSSCG00055024382.1)
Source: RNAcentral